This 336-nucleotide ribosomal RNA is filed under the name uncultured bacterium. Its description in RNAcentral is "bacterial SSU rRNA". It matches the Rfam family "Bacterial small subunit ribosomal RNA", at positions 72 to 422 of the family's 1533-position model. The record is from RNAcentral.
AAGUGGAGCAAUCCAUGAGUAAAGUGGCGACCGGGUGAGUAACACGUGACUAACCUACCUUCGAGUGGGGGAUAACCUCGGGAAACCGGGGCUAAUACCGCAUAAUGCCUUCGGGUUAAAGGAGCAAUUCGCUUGAAGAGGGGGUCGCGGCUGAUUAGCUAGUUGGCGGGGUAACGGCCCACCAAGGCGAUGAUCGGUAGCCGGCCUGAGAGGGCGCACGGCCACACUGGAACUGAAACACGGUCCAGACUCCUACGGGAGGCAGCAGUGGGGAAUUUUGCGCAAUGGGGGAAACCCUGACGCAGCAACGCCGCGUGGAGGAUGAAGUCCCUUGGG